UACGUAGGGCGCGAGCGUUGUCCGGAAUUAUUGGGCGUAAAGAGCUCGUAGGCGGCUUGUUGCGUCUGCUGUGAAAUCCCGGGGCUUAACCCCGGGCGUGCAGUGGAUACGGGCAGGCUGGAGGCAGGCAGGGGAGACUGGAAUUCCCGGUGUAGCGGUGAAAUGCGCAGAUAUCGGGAGGAACACCGGUGGCGAAGGCGGUUCUCUGGGCCUUACCUGACGCUGAGGAGCGAAAGCGUGGGUAGCAAACAGG
RNAcentral lists this ribosomal RNA (253 nucleotides) under uncultured bacterium. RNAcentral's name for it is "partial 16S ribosomal RNA". It matches the Rfam family "Bacterial small subunit ribosomal RNA", at positions 524 to 776 of the family's 1533-position model. The record is from RNAcentral.